UACAGAGGUCCCAAGCGUUGCUCGGAAUCACUGGGCGUAAAGGGUGCGUAGGCGGGUCUUUAAGUCAGGGGUGAAAUCCUGGAGCUCAACUCCAGAACUGCCUUUGAUACUGAGGAUCCUGAGUUCGGGAGAGGUGAGUGGAACUGCGAGUGUAGAGGUGAAAUUCGUAGAUAUUCGCAAGAACACCAGUGGCGAAGGCGGCUCACUGGCCCGAUACUGACGCUGAGGCACGAAAGCGUGGGGAGCAAACAGG
This 253-nucleotide ribosomal RNA is filed under the name uncultured bacterium. RNAcentral describes it as "partial 16S ribosomal RNA". It matches the Rfam family "Bacterial small subunit ribosomal RNA", at positions 524 to 776 of the family's 1533-position model. The record is from RNAcentral.